GAUGAACGCUAGCGGGAGGCCUAACACAUGCAAGCCGAGCGGUAGAGAUUCUUCGGAAUCUUGAGAGCGGCGUACGGGUGCGGAACACGUGUGCAACCUGCCUUUAUCAGGGGGAUAGCCUUUCGAAAGGAAGAUUAAUACCCCAUAAUAUAUUUGAUGGCAUCAUUAGAUAUUGAAAGCUUUGGCGGAUAGAGAUGGGCACGCGCAAGAUUAGAAAGUUGGUGAGGUAACGGCUCACCAAGUCGAUGAUCUUUAGGGGGCCUGAGAGGGUGAUCCCCCACACUGGUACUGAGACACGGACCAGACUCCUACGGGAGGCAGCAGUGAGGAAUAUUGGACAAUGGGUUAGCGCCUGAUCCAGCCAUCCCGCGUGAAGGACGACGGCCCUAUGGGUUGUAAACUUCUUUUGUACAGGGAUAAACCUACUCUCGUGAGAGUAGCUGAAGGUACUGUACGAAUAAGCACCGGCUAACUCCGUG
RNAcentral lists this ribosomal RNA (479 nucleotides) under uncultured bacterium. RNAcentral describes it as "partial 16S ribosomal RNA". It matches the Rfam family "Bacterial small subunit ribosomal RNA", at positions 28 to 507 of the family's 1533-position model. The record is from RNAcentral.